RNAcentral lists this ribosomal RNA (466 nucleotides) under uncultured bacterium. Its description in RNAcentral is "bacterial SSU rRNA". It matches the Rfam family "Bacterial small subunit ribosomal RNA", at positions 33 to 507 of the family's 1533-position model. The record is from RNAcentral.
GGACGACGCUGGCGGCGCGCCUAACACAUGCAAGUCGAACGAGAGAUGAGGAGCUUGCUCUUCAAAUCGAGUGGCGAACGGGUGAGUAACGCGUGAGGAACCUGCCUCAAAGAGGGGGACAACAGUUGGAAACGACUGCUAAUACCGCAUAAGCCCACGGCUCGGCAUCGAGCAGAGGGAAAAGGAGUGAUCCGCUUUGAGAUGGCCUCGCGUCCGAUUAGCUAGUUGGUGAGGUAACGGCCCACCAAGGCAACGAUCGGUAGCCGGACUGAGAGGUUGAACGGCCACAUUGGGACUGAGACACGGCCCAGACUCCUACGGGAGGCAGCAGUGGGGAAUAUUGCACAAUGGGGGAAACCCUGAUGCAGCGACGCCGCGUGGAGGAAGAAGGUCUUCGGAUUGCAAACUCCUGUUGUUGAGGAAGAUAAUGACGGUACUCAACAAGGAAGUGACGGCUAACUACGUG